This 473-nucleotide ribosomal RNA is filed under the name uncultured Desulfovibrio sp. Its description in RNAcentral is "bacterial SSU rRNA". It matches the Rfam family "Bacterial small subunit ribosomal RNA", at positions 916 to 1381 of the family's 1533-position model. Lineage: Bacteria; Pseudomonadati; Thermodesulfobacteriota; Desulfovibrionia; Desulfovibrionales; Desulfovibrionaceae. The record is from RNAcentral.
GACGGGGCCCGCACAAGCGGUGGAGUAUGUGGUUUAAUUCGACGCAACGCGCAGAACCUUACCUAGACUUGACAUCCCGGGGAUUUUCUGGAAACAGAGAAGUGCUUUAGCAAUAAAGAACCCGGUGACAGGUGCUGCAUGGCUGUCGUCAGCUCGUGUCGUGAGAUGUUGGGUUAAGUCCCGCAACGAGCGCAACCCUCGCCUUUAGUUGCCAGCAUUCAGUUGGGCACUCUAGAGGGACUGCCGGUGUCAAACCGGAGGAAGGCGGGAUGACGUCAAGUCCUCAUGGCCUUUAUGUCUAGGGCUACACACGUACUACAAUGGCCGGUACAAAGGGCAGCCACUCAGCGAUGAGGCGCGAAUCCCAUAAAGCCGGUCUCAGUCCGGAUCGCAGUCUGCAACUCGACUGCGUGAAGUUGGAAUCGCUAGUAAUCGCGGAUCAGCACGCCGCGGUGAAUACGUUCCCGGGCCUU